CGCAAGGAAGCUGAUUGG
RNAcentral lists this non-coding RNA (18 nucleotides) under Arabidopsis thaliana (thale cress). The record is from RNAcentral. Lineage: Eukaryota; Viridiplantae; Streptophyta; Magnoliopsida; Brassicales; Brassicaceae.